GACGGCUCGGGCGGAAUGUAAAAUUC
This 26-nucleotide non-coding RNA is filed under the name Drosophila melanogaster (fruit fly). The record is from RNAcentral. Lineage: Eukaryota; Metazoa; Arthropoda; Insecta; Diptera; Drosophilidae.